Molecule: ribosomal RNA, 498 nt
Filed under: uncultured bacterium
Lineage: Bacteria
Description: partial 16S ribosomal RNA
Rfam family: Bacterial small subunit ribosomal RNA
Source: RNAcentral
AUUGAACGCUGGCGGCAUGCCUUACACAUGCAAGUCGAACGGUAACAGGUCUUCGGAUGCUGACGAGUGGCGAACGGGUGAGUAAUACAUCGGAACGUGCCUAGUAGUGGGGGAUAACUACUCGAAAGAGUGGCUAAUACCGCAUGAGAUCUACGGAUGAAAGCAGGGGAUCGCAAGACCUUGUGCUACUAGAGCGGCCGAUGGCAGAUUAGGUUGUUGGUGGGAUAAAGGCUUACCAAGCCGACGAUCUGUAGCUGGUCUGAGAGGACGAUCAGCCACACUGGGACUGAGACACGGCCCAGACUCCUACGGGAGGCAGCAGUGGGGAAUUUUGGACAAUGGGCGAAAGCCUGAUCCAGCAAUGCCGCGUGCAGGAUGAAGGCCUUCGGGUUGUAAACUGCUUUUGUACGGAACGAAAAGCCCCGGGUUAAUACCCUGGGGUCAUGACGGUACCGUAAGAAUAAGCACCGGCUAACUACGUGCCAGCAGCCGCGGUAA